Molecule: small nuclear RNA, 290 nt
Filed under: Dasypus novemcinctus (nine-banded armadillo)
Lineage: Eukaryota; Metazoa; Chordata; Mammalia; Cingulata; Dasypodidae
Description: 7SK RNA (ENSDNOG00000028156.1)
Rfam family: 7SK RNA
About the family: 7SK was discovered as an abundant small nuclear RNA in the mid-70s but a possible function has only recently been suggested. Two independent studies have found that 7SK RNA binds the CDK9/cyclin T complex (known as elongation factor P-TEFb).
Source: RNAcentral
GAAUGUGAGGGCAUCUGGCUGCAACAUCUGUCACCCCACUGAUCUCCAGGAUUGAUUCGGCUGAUCUGGCCGGCUAGGCAGGUGUCCCCUUCCUCCCUCGCUGCUGCUGUGCGUCCCUCCCGAAGCUGCACGCUCGGUCAAAGAGGACGACCUUCCCUGCUAGAGGAGGGCCGUUCUUCGGUCAAGGAUAUAUGGUAGCUGCGUUCCCCUGCUAGAACCUCCAAACAAGCUCUCAAAAAAGGCUCUUAUAGGGAAGCGGAUUUGGCUCAACUGAUUGAGUGUCCACCUAC